RNAcentral lists this ribosomal RNA (800 nucleotides) under uncultured Streptosporangium sp. RNAcentral's name for it is "bacterial SSU rRNA". It matches the Rfam family "Bacterial small subunit ribosomal RNA", at positions 48 to 868 of the family's 1533-position model. The record is from RNAcentral. Lineage: Bacteria; Bacillati; Actinomycetota; Actinomycetes; Streptosporangiales; Streptosporangiaceae.
GCUACCAUGCAAGUCGAGCGGAAGGCCCUUCGGGGUACUCGAGCGGCGAACGGGUGAGUAACACGUGAGUAACCUGCCCCCGACUCUGGGAUAAGCCCGGGAAACUGGGUCUAAUACCGGAUACGACCACUUCCCGCAUGUGGAUGGUGGUGGAAAGUUUUUUCGGUUGGGGAUGGACUCGCGGCCUAUCAGCUUGUUGGUGGGGUAAUGGCCUACCAAGGCGACGACGGGUAGCCGGCCUGAGAGGGCGACCGGCCACACUGGGACUGAGACACGGCCCAGACUCCUACGGGAGGCAGCAGUGGGGAAUAUUGCGCAAUGGGCGAAAGCCUGACGCAGCGACGCCGCGUGGGGGAUGACGGCCUUCGGGUUGUAAACCUCUUUCAGCAGGGACGAAGUUGACGUGUACCUGCAGAAGAAGCGCCGGCUAACUACGUGCCAGCAGCCGCGGUAAUACGUAGGGCGCAAGCGUUGUCCGGAAUUAUUGGGCGUAAAGAGCUCGUAGGUGGCUUGUCACGUCGGGUGUGAAAGCUUGGGGCUUAACUCCAGGUCUGCAUUCGAUACGGGCUGGCUAGAGGUAGGUAGGGGAGAACGGAAUUCCUGGUGUAGCGGUGAAAUGCGCAGAUAUCAGGAGGAACACCGGUGGCGAAGGCGGUUCUCUGGGCCUUACCUGACGCUGAGGAGCGAAAGCGUGGGGAGCGAACAGGAUUAGAUACCCUGGUAGUCCACGCUGUAAACGUUGGGCGCUAGGUGUGGGGACCUUCCACGGUUUCCGCGCCGUAGCUAACGCAUUAAGCGCC